RNAcentral lists this ribosomal RNA (780 nucleotides) under uncultured Neocallimastigales. RNAcentral's name for it is "partial large subunit ribosomal RNA". It matches the Rfam family "Eukaryotic large subunit ribosomal RNA", at positions 24 to 635 of the family's 3401-position model. The record is from RNAcentral. Lineage: Eukaryota; Fungi; Neocallimastigomycota; Neocallimastigomycetes; Neocallimastigales.
UAUCUCUGUAGAGUCUGCAUAUCAAUAAGCGGAGGAAAAGAAACUAACUAGGAUUCCCUCAGUAACGGCGAGUGAAGCGGGAAGAGCUCAAAUUUGAAAUCUUAAAGGGUUCUACCUUGACGAAUUGUAGUUUAAAGAAGUGUUUUCUGUUAGAUGAGUUCGGUAAAAGUUCCUUUGGAAUAGGGACAUCAUAGAGGGUGAGAAUCCCGUAUUUGACCGUUAUUUUCAGCUGUGUGAUACACUUUCAAAGAGUCGGAUUGUUUGGGAAUGCAGUCCAAAAUGGGUGGUAAAUUUCAUCUAAAGCUAAAUACUGGCGAGAGACCGAUAGCGAACAAGUACCGUGAGGGAAAGAUGAAAAGAACUUUGAAAAGAGAGUUAAACAGUACGUGAAAUUGUCAAAAGGGAAGCGUUUGACACCAGCUGUUGUUUUCUCGUAAAUCAAUUAAAAAUGGCUUGAUUUUGUGUUGUAUUGACCUUAAAAGCUUUCUUCACUUUUUUCAUGUCUUUUUUAAUGCACUUUUCGUUUAACAAGUCAACAUCAGUUUCUUUUGUUGUAAAAAGGUCAUUGGAAGGUGGCUUUCUUUUCGGAGAAAGUGUUUAUAGCCUUUGACUUCUGCAAUCGGAGAGACUGAGGUCUGCAGCGUAGAUCCUUCGGGGUUAGAUACAUUUGUGCUAAGUUAUAGCCUUUCAUAGACAACUUGUUGACUAUGAUCAGUCAUGUAGCUUACUCGCUUAUGCUAUUUUACCUACGCUUAGGAUGUUGAAGAUGUAGCACAUCAU